Long non-coding RNA from Solanum lycopersicum (tomato), 558 nucleotides. RefSeq lists it as uncharacterized. Lineage: Eukaryota; Viridiplantae; Streptophyta; Magnoliopsida; Solanales; Solanaceae. The record is from RefSeq and is a predicted model, not a curated record.
AAUUAAGUUGACAACUUGAGUUUCCAGCACUAUAAAUACCACCAUUUCAAUUGUUUGUUUCAUCACCAAGAAAUCAACAGAAAAUAAGAGCUAUGGCAAAGUACACUACUUUUCUUGCCCUUCUCUUUUGCCUCUUCCUUGUUGUUGCAACUGAAAUACAAAUGGUAGAAGGAAAAUAUUGUUGGAAAAAGAGUAACAAGUGGAAUGGACCAUGUCAAUACUCUUACAAAUGUAGUCAUCAUUGCAAGUACUACUAUGGAGCUAAAUAUGGUAUUUGUAAGAAGUACAAACCAUGGGGUCACAAAUAUUACUGGGCAAAAUAUGCUUGCUACUGUUAUUCACCUUGCCACUACUAACAAACGUUAAGUGUCUCAUGGCUUGGCUUUGACAAUUGUAAACAAACAAUUAAGAAGCUGCCUAUUUUAUGUGUGUAAUAUGAUGAAAUAAGGCUGAUUUAUGUGUGCUACCAUUUUGGCCAAGCUUUAGGUGAUGACUAAGUGUAUUGUAUUGUAUGACUUUCUAUUAAUAUUAAUAAUUGCCAACAAGGUACUUUUUUUA